This 394-nucleotide ribosomal RNA is filed under the name uncultured bacterium. Its description in RNAcentral is "bacterial SSU rRNA". It matches the Rfam family "Bacterial small subunit ribosomal RNA", at positions 505 to 898 of the family's 1533-position model. The record is from RNAcentral.
GUGUCAGCCGCCGCGGUAAUACGUAGGUCCCGAGCGUUAUCCGGAUUUAUUGGGCGUAAGGCGAGCGCAGGCGGUUAGAUAAGUCUGAAGUUAAAGGCUGUGGCUUAACCAUAGUACGCUUUGGAAACUGUUUAACUUGAGUGCAGAAGGGGAGAGUGGAAUUCCAUGUGUAGCGGUGAAAUGCGUAGAUAUAUGGAGGAACACCGGUGGCGAAAGCGGCUCUCUGGUCUGUAACUGACGCUGAGGCUCGAAAGCGUGGGGAGCAAACAGGAUUAGAUACCCUGGUAGUCCACGCCGUAAACGAUGAGUGCUAGGUGUUGGGUCCUUUCCGGGACUCAGUGCCGCAGCUAACGCAUUAAGCACUCCGCCUGGGGAGUACGACCGCAAGGUUGAA